Molecule: ribosomal RNA, 253 nt
Filed under: uncultured bacterium
Lineage: Bacteria
Description: partial 16S ribosomal RNA
Rfam family: Bacterial small subunit ribosomal RNA
Source: RNAcentral
UACGGGGGGGGCAAGCGUUGUUCGGAAUUACUGGGCGUAAAGGGCUCGUAGGUGGCCAACUAAGUCAGACGUGAAAUCCCUCGGCUUAACCGGGGAACUGCGUCUGAUACUGGAUGGCUUGAGUUCGGGAGAGGGAUGCGGAAUUCCAGGUGUAGCGGUGAAAUGCGUAGAUAUCUGGAAGAACACCAGUGGCGAAGGCAGCAACUUGGUCUGGUAUCGACGCUAAGGCACGAAAGCAUGGGGAUCAAACAGG